This is a non-coding RNA of Misgurnus anguillicaudatus (oriental weatherfish), 1172 nucleotides long. NCBI's taxonomy places the organism in Eukaryota, Metazoa, Chordata, Actinopteri, Cypriniformes, Cobitidae. The record is from RefSeq and is a predicted model, not a curated record.
AAUUUCUGUAGUUUUCACAGCAUUAUUACUGUAAAAUGAGCAAAUGCUUACUGUAGAACUUGUAUACAGCAUGUUGCUGUAGAUCUGCAAAGCAUCAUGGUCUUUUUUCAACGGCGGGUAAAUUCUACAGUAAAAAUAUUUUUCCUGUGAAUCACAAUACAGCAAUUUCUAAAGGAUUUUUUCUUCAGCCAAGGAAAGCUACGAGAUUCCACACUUUCAUCUGAAUUUUUACUUCAGAAAGGGUUGAUGACGUAUGCGAGUGCGACCUCCGCAGGCUGAAACCAGUCUCUCGAGCUGAAAGAAAACGCAGCUGAGGAGAUAUGAGGAAACUUCCACCUACAGUAAGCAGAUGCUGAGGCCUAGAUUUCCAUGCUAAGCACUCCAAGGCUCAUCAUGCUCGGAGAGUCCAAUCUGAGGGCAAAAAAUGGAUGCUUUCCAUCGAGGGCAGAGUUCUCCUCCAAUUGAGUGACGGUUGUGAUUUCACUUCUGCUCUAGCCUUUUUGCGUCAUACUAUGUAUGAGGCAGCCACUACAUUGGGAUUUAUCCAGAGGGUAGAGUCCAGCCCAGGAAGUCAACUAGUUCAUGUCCAGAUUUAAAAGAAUAAUAUUUCUGAAAAAAAAGGUCUUGGAGAAAAACAAUAUUCAGGUUUGAAAUCCUGCUGUAAAUGUAAAUCAUUUAACUUUUAUGCAUUUGUAAUUUACCAGAAACUUUUUAAUAAAUAUUGAUUGUUUUGUGUGUUCAGAAAAAAAGUGUUUUUGUAUGUUCAGAAAAGUGUUGAAAUUAAAUGAAACAUUCACAGAAAAAUGUUAACAUAUUUAAAAAAAUGUAUAUGUUCAGAAAGGUUUUGAGAUGUUCACAGAAAAAAUGUAACACAAAAAAUGUAUGCUAUGCUAUUUUUAAUUUAUGAAUUUUUGUAAUUUAAAGUGAUAAAAUAAAUGGCAUUUUUGUGACAAACAGUGUCUUCAUUUUACAGUACACAAAAUAAAUGCAGUAAUCCCUAUUACAGUAGUAGUUAUGAAAUACAGUACUGUGAUUAUUACUUUAAAAGAGUUUACAGUAAUUUUAAUUUUACUGCAAUUACAUUUACAGUAAGAAUACUGUGAAAUGAAAUACAGCAACUUACUAGCUAAUUGCUGCCAGCAAGUUACUGUAUUUUUCACAGGAUUCUUUUU